Non-coding RNA from Paramuricea clavata, 1462 nucleotides. Lineage: Eukaryota; Metazoa; Cnidaria; Anthozoa; Malacalcyonacea; Plexauridae. The record is from the annotation of a GenBank genome assembly.
GUCGUGAGGUAGACCGCCGCACCUCCCGUAAAUUUCAUUCCACCUUCCCCACUAUUUCCACCAAAAUCCGGCCUUGGUAUAAACUAUUAUUGUAAGAGUACAAACGAUUGUUACGAUAAGACAGCUAAAUAGUGUAUAAAAGCUGUAACAUUACUUUAUCAACCAUUAAAAAACUCAUUAAUAAUUCAGGAGGAAAACACAAAGAAAAAUCAUAAGCGUGUCGUAUCUUUAUAUGUGAUAAAAAAUCAUGUUAAUUUACAUAAACUUUAGCUUUGAUCUUCUCGGUUUAGACAAAGUUUAUUUUAAAAAUUACUUCGCUAAUGUACUCAUCAGAAGAUGGGUCUUUUUGUAAGCCAUUUAAAGCAAUUGUAGUCGUGUUUUAUCAGACAUAAAACGCUCGGCUGCACCUCGCGUUUUAUAUCUGAUAAAACACUCCUAAGCGUGCUUUAAAUGGUACUUAAAUUAUUUUUUCACAAACAAAACCAUUAUAUUUUAUCGCCAUGCAAACAUACAAAGAACUUACAUUAAAGCAUUGUCAGGCCAUAACGUAAGCUAUUGCAAGAAUUUAAAGUUUGUUCGUUCACUGCAACAGGGUAUAUCAAUCAUGUUUCGCUCGCUACUCUGGUUUAAAUAAAUGAUUACAAAGCCCAGUCGAAUUGUAAUCAAGACCCAGCGUUUCGACACUCCAGUCUGGUGUCUUCAUCAGGGGUAAUCUAAAACUGCGAUCGUGGCUUCUUAAAUACCCAAGGGAUGACGUCACCUGCCAAUGAGAUGCAUAUAUUCCUCUGGCAAAUAGGCACCGUCAUCCCUAUUCAAAGCAUGACGGUGGCUAUUUGCCAGAGGAAUAUAUGCAUCUCAUUGGCAGGUGACUUCAUCCCUUGGGUAUUUAGGAAGCCACGAUUGCAUCUUUAGACUGACCCCUGAUGAAGACACUAGACUGGGGUGUCGAAACGUUGGGUCUUGACUAUUGCAAAAAGUUGAAGGCAAAAACGUUUAAAGAACUAUGAUUUACAGCUACCAAAAAUUGGUCAUAUUGGAAACAUAAUUCGCCCCCCCCCCGGAAUAUUUCCAUAAAUCGCCCCUCCCCCUUGAUUUGAACAGUUAAUUGGUAUACACUUGCCUACCACAUGGUAAAAUUUUCAUUCAGACUAUUUCAUCGUCUAUUUUACAAUAGUCACAUUCAUAAUCUAAUUAAAUAUAAACCUUUUCUUCUUUUUAGACAGGCUAUGAAGUUGUAUUUUGUAAAACUUCACGUUUUCAGCGUUGGUAUAUAACCAAAUUGAUUAACAUAGUCCAAUCUUAUUCAUUGCUAUUGUUCCUGAUUACGAGAGUAUAUCCAUAGAUAUCUUAUAUACACUAGAUAGUGCAUCUAAUUACUCUGUAAUUCAAAAAUUGAAGCCGUGAUUGCAGUCUCAGGUCGUUCCCAUGAAAUGAGAAGGUUCGUAUGUUUUCUAUUUCUUAA